This 207-nucleotide ribosomal RNA is filed under the name Triticum aestivum (bread wheat). RNAcentral's name for it is "partial small subunit ribosomal RNA". Lineage: Eukaryota; Viridiplantae; Streptophyta; Magnoliopsida; Poales; Poaceae. The record is from RNAcentral.
AUGGAUCUCACAAUGGAUGACAGUAAGCUUAAUUCCCCAGGACAUCUGCCAGAGAGUGAUGGUAGAGGCAGGCAGUGGUGCAUGCGGCUUCAACAGCUACUGCAGCUUCGAUGGCACCCAGAAUCAGACAACAAUAUGCCGAUGCCCAGAACAUUACAAGUUCUUCGACGACGAGAGAAAAUACAAAGGGUGCAUGCCAGACUUUGA